AAGUAGUGAAUCAUGAAAUUCUUUGGUUUAGGAGUUUGUCAAACAUAUGUUGUAGUAUUGUAUGUAUUGUUAGGGUUAGAUUUUGGAAAACUGAAAUGUUUUUUUCAAAAAUUAGUUUUCACCUAUAUGUGUUUAUUUAUGUGUAUAGUAAACACUUUUCAAGUUUGAUUUGAUUUUAUGAAGUCUUUAAUUAGAUAAUUAAGUUUAGGGGUUAUGUUUAGGGUGUGGACGACAUAUAUUUCAGUCUUCUGUUGAAUAAUUUACUCAGACGACGUAUAUUUCAGUCAUCCACAUCGUACCGAACCUUUAAUUUUACCAAUGUACGUUUUAACCUAACCGGAUCAUUUUACUCGGACGACUUACAUUUCAGUCGUCUAGUGAAGAAAUUAAAACAGACGACUUACAUGUAAGUCGUCCAAAUAUUCCCGCCUAAAAUUUUUUAAAAAAAUUAUUUUUCCGCUUAAAUAAUUUAAACCAGACGACUU
Molecule: long non-coding RNA, 485 nt
Filed under: Brassica napus (rape)
Lineage: Eukaryota; Viridiplantae; Streptophyta; Magnoliopsida; Brassicales; Brassicaceae
Description: long non-coding RNA (BNAP_LNC026378)
Source: RNAcentral